CUCCUUGGUCUUGGCCUUUUGGCUAAGAUCAAGUGUAGUAUCUGUUCUCAUCAGUCACUGCACCAGAUACACGCUUUUUUUAGCACCUGCCUCCUGGGCCGGGCCUUUUGGCUAGGACCGGAGGAAUUUUUUAUUCCUGGCCGGAGGGCCUGGUCAUUGUUUCACCACAAUGGCCACUUCUU
This is a small nuclear RNA of Rana temporaria (common frog), 182 nucleotides long. RefSeq annotates it as U2 spliceosomal RNA. Lineage: Eukaryota; Metazoa; Chordata; Amphibia; Anura; Ranidae. The transcript has a single exon. The record is from RefSeq and is a predicted model, not a curated record.